UACGUAGGGUGCAAGCGUUGUCCGGAAUUAUUGGGCGUAAAGAGCUCGUAGGCGGCUUGUCACGUCGGGUGUGAAAGCCCGGGGCUUAACCCCGGGUCUGCAUUCGAUACGGGCUAGCUAGAGUGUGGUAGGGGAGAUCGGAAUUCCUGGUGUAGCGGUGAAAUUCGUAGAUAUCGAGAGGAACACCGGCGGCGAAGGCGGCCAACUGGACGAAUACUGACGCUGAGACUCGAAAGCGUGGGGAGCAAACAGG
This 253-nucleotide ribosomal RNA is filed under the name uncultured bacterium. RNAcentral's name for it is "partial 16S ribosomal RNA". It matches the Rfam family "Bacterial small subunit ribosomal RNA", at positions 524 to 776 of the family's 1533-position model. The record is from RNAcentral.